AGUGAACGCUGGCGGUAGGCCUAACACAUGCAAGUCGAACGGCAGCACAGUAAGAGCUUGCUCUUACGGGUGGCGAGUGGCGGACGGGUGAGGAAUACAUCGGAAUCUACUUUUUCGUGAGGGAUAACGUAGGGAAACUUACGCUAAUACCGCAUACGACCUACGGGUGAAAGCAGGGGAUCUUCGGACCUUGCGCGAUUGAAUGAGCCGAUGUCGGAUUAGCUAGUUGGCGGGGUAAAGGCCCACCAAGGCGACGAUCCGUAGCUGGUCUGAGAGGAUGAUCAGCCACACUGGAACUGAGACACGGUCCAGACUCCUACGGGAGGCAGCAGUGGGGAAUAUUGGACAAUGGGCGCAAGCCUGAUCCAGCCAUACCGCGUGGGUGAAGAAGGCCUUCGGGUUGUAAAGCCCCUUUGUUGGGAAAGAAAAGCAGCAGGUUAAUACCCCGCUGUUCUGACGGUACCCAAAGAAUAAGCACCGGCUAACUUCGUG
RNAcentral lists this ribosomal RNA (492 nucleotides) under uncultured bacterium. RNAcentral describes it as "partial 16S ribosomal RNA". It matches the Rfam family "Bacterial small subunit ribosomal RNA", at positions 29 to 507 of the family's 1533-position model. The record is from RNAcentral.